GCAGCCGCGGUAAUACGUAGGGGGCGAGCGUUGUCCGGAAUUACUGGGCGUAAAGGGUGCGUAGGCGGCGAACUAAGUUGGAUGUGAAACCCCCGGGCUUAACUUGGGGACUGCAUUCAAAACUGGUUUGCUAGAGUGCAGGAGAGGAAAGCGGAAUUCCUAGUGUAGCGGUGAAAUGCGUAGAUAUUAGGAGGAACACCAGUGGCGAAGGCGGCUUUCUGGACUGUAACUGACGCUGAGGCACGAAAGCGUGGGGAGCAAACAGGAUUAGAUACCCC
Molecule: ribosomal RNA, 278 nt
Filed under: uncultured Christensenellaceae bacterium
Lineage: Bacteria; Bacillati; Bacillota; Clostridia; Christensenellales; Christensenellaceae
Description: partial 16S ribosomal RNA
Rfam family: Bacterial small subunit ribosomal RNA
Source: RNAcentral